AAUUACAUAAUUAAAAUUUAAUUCAAUAAGUCCCAAAUAAUCCAAGCACAUAUUUGUCUUAAAAAAAACCCAAGGUAAUUACAGUGAAAUUUGCUACAAAUGGAAAUAAAUCCUAAAGACCAAAGUCAGGUAAUCAAAUUGAAAUCUCUUUGAACUGGGGCGCGCCUCCAACCUUGCUGUAUUACAACCUCCAACCUUGCUCCAACCUUGCUGUAUUACAGCUCACUUUUCCAUUCCAUCAAAGUCACUUCAUUCCUGUAACCUACAAAGAGAAAAAAUAGCUUAAAUAAAAAGUACUUUUCAGAAGCGCUUAAGAAACUGAAAAACAACAAAAUAAACUACUUGGCUCAAAGCUUUACCCAGCAGGUUAACAUGAAUACUCAAAAAAAGCAUUUUGACAAUAGCUUAUAACAGUAACAAAUUAUCAAAAAUAGAAUCCCAUAUAAUCUGGAGAAAAAAUGUACAACAGGAAGGAGUUUUUAAGACUUAAAUAACUCUUCAUAAAGGGAUUUAGAAGUUAACAAGAAGGACAGAACAAUUUUUCAAAAAAAACCAUACGAGAACAGAAUAAUUUUUUCAAAAAAAAACAUACGAGAACAGAGCAAUUUUUCACACAUCAAGAGCACAACAAUAUUUCUAAAAACCCUAAAAAACAAACACAGGACAACGGAGCAAACUGAGCAAUCUCUUUCAAACCCAGAACACAUAGCAGCAGUAUAUCUCAAAAAGACCCUAAAAGCAAAACAUAAAUACUUUUCUUGAAAUCCCAGAGAAAAUCUAAAACAACUUUCACGAAAACAGACAAAGAAGCAGGCUGAGGAAGAAAACUUACCUGAAACUGCGACGGGUUGCCGGCGACGGACUCAGAUCAAAGCGCUCCUUUUUUCCCCUGAAGCCACCACUCACCUCCUUCGCCGUGGUAAAUAUAACGAACCCCUUUUAUUUUUAAAUCGCAACAUGCAACGCUUUGAGUUUGGUUUGGGAAUUUCAGAGUCCGGAUUCGAAUUCGGGAGGUUGUAGGUAGUGGGUUAGGUCACGUUUUGGGUAGGGUUACCGGAGAUGGAUGGAGGCUCCGCCAUGAGCCACCGCCUCCGGUCGUCUUCUCCAAGAGAGAAGAAAAUUUUUAGGGUUUCGACAAAGCUCCUUCUGAGCGUAAGUUUGCAGAGAGAGACGUUUAGGUUGGAAAGUGAAGAGAGAAAGUGAAAAAAG
Molecule: long non-coding RNA, 1209 nt
Filed under: Lathyrus oleraceus (garden pea)
Lineage: Eukaryota; Viridiplantae; Streptophyta; Magnoliopsida; Fabales; Fabaceae
Description: Pisum sativum (pea) long non-coding RNA (PSAT_LNC009161)
Source: RNAcentral